AACGAACGCUGGCGGCGGGGUUUAGGUCAUGCAAGUCGAGCGAGAAAAGACGCAAGCUGAGUACAGCGGCGUAAGGGUGAGUAAUAGGUAGUCAACGUACCGGGCAGACGCGAAUAAUUUCCCGAAAGGGAUUGUAAUGCGCGAUGAGAUCACGGGCACCACGGUGCAUGGGAUCAAAAGGUCGGGGAUCCUUCGGGACCUGGCGCUGUCUGAGCGGACUACCUCUGANAGUCUAGUUGGCGGGGUAACGGCCCACCAAGGCGAUGAUCAGUAGCCGGCCUGAGAGGGUGUCCGGCCACACUGGGACUGAGACACUGCCCACGACUCC
RNAcentral lists this ribosomal RNA (328 nucleotides) under uncultured bacterium. Its description in RNAcentral is "bacterial SSU rRNA". It matches the Rfam family "Bacterial small subunit ribosomal RNA", at positions 29 to 339 of the family's 1533-position model. The record is from RNAcentral.